CCUACGGGCGGCAGCAGUGGGGAAUAUUGCACAAUGGGCGCAAGCCUGAUGCAGCGACGCCGCGUGGGGGAUGACGGCCUUCGGGUUGUAAACUCCUUUCGCUAGGGACGAAGCUUUUUGUGACGGUACCUAGAUAAGAAGCACCGGCUAACUACGUGCCAGCAGCCGCGGUAAUACGUAGGGUGCGAGCGUUGUCCGGAAUUACUGGGCGUAAAGGGCUCGUAGGUGGUUUGUCGCGUCGUCUGUGAAAUUCCGGGGCUUAACUCCGGGCGUGCAGGCGAUACGGGCAUAACUUGAGUACUGUAGGGGUAACUGGAAUUCCUGGUGUAGCGGUGAAAUGCGCAGAUAUCAGGAGGAACACCGAUGGCGAAGGCAGGUUACUGGGCAGUUACUGACGCUGAGGAGCGAAAGCAUGGGUAGCGAACAGGAUUAGAUACCCGUGUAGUC
RNAcentral lists this ribosomal RNA (447 nucleotides) under uncultured Corynebacterium sp. RNAcentral describes it as "bacterial SSU rRNA". It matches the Rfam family "Bacterial small subunit ribosomal RNA", at positions 338 to 795 of the family's 1533-position model. The record is from RNAcentral. Lineage: Bacteria; Bacillati; Actinomycetota; Actinomycetes; Mycobacteriales; Corynebacteriaceae.